GACGAACGCUGGCGGCGUGCUUAACACAUGCAAGUCGAGCGGUAAGGCUCCUUCGGGAGUACACGAGCGGCGAACGGGUGAGUAACACGUGAGCAAUCUGCCCUUCACAUGGGAAUAACUUCGGGAAACCGAAGCUAAUACCGAAUACGACCACCGGUGGCAUCUUCUGGUGGUGGAAAGUUCCGGCGGUGAAGGAUGAGCUCGCGGCCUAUCAGCUAGUUGGUGAGGAAUGGCCCACCAAGGCGACGACGGGUAGCCGGCCUGAGAGGGUGACCGGCCACACUGGGACUGAGACACGGCCCAGACUCCUACGGGAGGCAGCAGUGGGGAAUAUUGGACAAUGGGCGAAAGCCUGAUCCAGCAACGCCGCGUGAGGGAUGACGGCCUCGG
This 390-nucleotide ribosomal RNA is filed under the name uncultured bacterium. RNAcentral describes it as "bacterial SSU rRNA". It matches the Rfam family "Bacterial small subunit ribosomal RNA", at positions 28 to 420 of the family's 1533-position model. The record is from RNAcentral.